UGGCGGACGGGUGAGUAAUGUCUGGGAAACUGCCUGAUGGAGGGGGGAUAACUACUGGAAACGGUAGCUAAUACCGCNUAACGUCGCAAGACCAAAGAGGGGGACCUUCGGGCCUCUUGCCAUCGGAUGUGCCCAGAUGGGAUUAGCUAGUAGGUGGGGUAACGGCUCACCUAGGCGACGAUCCCUAGCUGGUCUGAGAGGAUGACCAGCCACACUGGAACUGAGACACGGUCCAGACUCCUACGGGAGGCAGCAUG
RNAcentral lists this ribosomal RNA (257 nucleotides) under uncultured bacterium. RNAcentral describes it as "partial 16S ribosomal RNA". It matches the Rfam family "Bacterial small subunit ribosomal RNA", at positions 96 to 353 of the family's 1533-position model. The record is from RNAcentral.